GUAAUGCGUAGGAAGCUACCCGAUAGAGGGGGAUACCAGUUGGAAACGACUGUUAAUACCGCAUAAUGUCUACGGACCAAAGUGUGGGACCUUCGGGCCACAUGCUAUCGGAUGCGCCUACGUGGGAUUAGCUAGUUGGUGAGGUAAUGGCUCACCAAGGCGACGAUCUCUAGCUGGUUUGAGAGGAUGAUCAGCCACACUGGAACUGAGACACGGUCCAGACUCCUACGGGAGGCAGCAGUGGGGAAUAUUGGACAAUGGGCGCAAGCCUGAUCCAGCCAUGCCGCGUGUGUGAAGAAGGCCUUAGGGUUGUAAAGCACUUUCAGCGAGGAGGAAGGGGUUGUAGUUAAUAGCUGCAAUCUUUGACGUUACUCGCAGAAGAAGCACCGGCUAACUCUGUGCCAGCAGCCGCGGUAAUACAGAGGGUGCAAGCGUUAAUCGGAAUUACUGGGCGUAAAGCGCACGCAGGCGGUUGGUUAAGUCAGAUGUGAAAGCCCCGGGCUCAACCUGGGAAUUGCAUUUGAAACUGGCCAACUAGAGUAUGUGAGGGGGGGGUAGAAUUCCAAGUGUAGCGGUGAAAUGCGUAGAGAUUUGGAGGAAUACCAGUGGCGAAGGCGGCCCCCUGGCACAAUACUGACGCUCAGGUG
Molecule: ribosomal RNA, 647 nt
Filed under: uncultured bacterium
Lineage: Bacteria
Description: bacterial SSU rRNA
Rfam family: Bacterial small subunit ribosomal RNA
Source: RNAcentral